Molecule: long non-coding RNA, 1949 nt
Organism: Macaca fascicularis (crab-eating macaque)
Lineage: Eukaryota; Metazoa; Chordata; Mammalia; Primates; Cercopithecidae
Source: Ensembl
ACGCAACUUGGGGCCACCUGGCCUAGUAGCUGCUGCUACGCGUCCUGGCCGAGGGGUAGCGGGACCGCAGGCGGCUGGAGUGGGGAAGGGUGACCGCCGCCGUCGUUUCUUCUCCGUGGGUGGCUACAGAGUGCCCUCAAGUAACCCGGAGGUUGAGGGCCCCCCAGUGCGCGGCUGCCGGGGGUCAGGACGCGGGACUCCCCUCUACCGCCAUGGUCUGGCAGUGUGGGGGAGCGCUCAGGGACAGAGAUGCGGCUGCAGAUGUGUGCUUUCUCCUUGCUCCCGACUGCUGACUUCAUUAUUCAAAUACGCAGCCGAAACCAUGGAUCUUGCAGCAAAUAUGCACUGGAAUUAGGAGUCUCACCCUUUGCUGGCCUCUGCAGCUACAGAGAUGAUUGGUCACAUUCUCAUGGGUGAAGAAAUGGACAAGCUGAUUCUAAAAUUCAUUUGGAACUGCAAGGGACCAGAAGAACCAAAGCAAUCUUCAACAAGAACAAUGUUAGAAGAUUCACUUCUCCAUUUCAAAACUUACUACAAAACUAUAGUAAUCGGCGGGGUGCAGUGGCUCAUGCCUGUAAUUCCAGCACUUUGGGAGGCCGAGGCAGGCAGAUCACUUGAGGUCAGAAGUUUGAGACCAGCCUGGCCAACAUGGUGAAACCCCGUCUCAACUAAAAAUACAAAACUUAGCUGGGUUUGGUGGCAAGUGCCUAUAAUCCCAGCUACUCAGGAGGCUGAGGCAAGAGGAUUGCUUGAGCCUGGGAGGCGGAUGUUGCAGUGGGCUGAGAUCGUGCCACUGCACUCCAGUUUGCCUGGGUGACCAAGUGAGACUCUGUCUCAAAAACAAACAAACAAAAAAACAACAACAAAAAGUAUGUGUAUAUAUAUAUGAGAGAGAGAGAGUAAUCAUUACUGUGUGAUAUUGGCAUGACUAUAGAUACAGAAUAGAAUUGAAAGUCCAGAAAUAAAUCUAUACAUUUAUGUUAAUGUCAAUUGAUAUUGAAUGUUUGCCAAAAACAUUCAAUGGAGAAAGAAUAGCCUUUUCAAUAUAUGGUGCUGGGUCAACCAGAUAUUCACAUACUAAAGAAUAAACUUGGACCUCUAUCUUAGGGCUAAUAUGAAAAUGAACUGAAAGUCAACUAAAUAACCUAAAUGUAAGAGCCAAAUCUAUAAAACUCUUAGAAGAAAACAGGUAAAAAUCUGCAUGAUCUUAGAUUAGGCAAUAUUUAGAUUUGGCACUAAAAACAUAAGCAACCAAAGAAAAAAAUAGAUAGAUUAGACCUCCUCAAAAUUAAAAAUAUGCAUCAAAGGACACUACCAGUAAAGUAAAAAGACAACUCAUUGAAUGGGUAAAAAUAUUUGCAAAUUACCUGUGUCAUAAGUAUUGAGUAUAGAGAAUAUUUAUGAGCUCUUAUAACUAAGCAGAAAAAGAUAACUCAAUUUGAAAAUGGGCAAAGGAUUUGAAUAGACAGUUUUCUGAAGAAGAUAUGCAACUGGCCAAUAAGCACAUGGAAAGGUACUCAAUACUAUUGGUCAUCAGGGAAAUACAAAUUCAAGCCACAAUGAGGUACCACUUCACAUCCACUAGGAUGAGUACAAUAAUAAUUUAAAAAAAAUAAGUGAUGGUGAGAAUGUAGAAAAACGAACUUUCAUACAUUGCUGGUGAGAAUAUGAAGUGGUGCAGCUACUGUGGAAAAGUUUAGCAGGAAUUCAGAACGUUAAAUAUAGAAGUACCUUAUGACGUAGCACUUCUGCUUGUAGGUACUCAAAGGAAAACAUAUGUCCUCACAAAAACUUGUACACAAAUGUUCAUAACAGGCUGGGUGCGGUGGCUCACGCCUGUAAUCCCAACACUGUGGGAGGCUGAAGCGGGUGGAUCAGUUGGGGACAGGAGUUCCAGACCAGCCUGAUCAACACGGUGAAAACCCGUCUCUACUAAAAAUACAAAAAAA